CGCUCGUCGCUACUACCGAUUGAAUUAUUUAAUGACGUCUACGGGUUUGAUCCCUGUGACGCAUUUUAUGUUUUGUAAAUGUUUUGAAAAACUUGACCGAACUUGAUUGUUUAGAGGAAGUAUAAGUCAUAAGAA
This 135-nucleotide ribosomal RNA is filed under the name Glossina brevipalpis. RNAcentral's name for it is "eukaryotic small subunit ribosomal RNA". The record is from RNAcentral. Lineage: Eukaryota; Metazoa; Arthropoda; Insecta; Diptera; Glossinidae.